This 476-nucleotide ribosomal RNA is filed under the name uncultured organism. RNAcentral describes it as "partial 16S ribosomal RNA". It matches the Rfam family "Bacterial small subunit ribosomal RNA", at positions 331 to 799 of the family's 1533-position model. The record is from RNAcentral.
GUACACUCCUGCGGGAGGCAGCAGUAGGGAAUCUUCCACAAUGGGUGCAAACCUGAUGGAGCAAUGCCGCGUGAGUGAAGAAGGUCUUCGGAUCGUAAAGCUCUGUUGUUAGAGAAGAACACGUGCUAGGUAACUACUAGCGCCUUGACGGUAUCUAACCAGAAAGUCACGGAUAACUACGUGCCAGCAGCCGCGGUAAUACGUAGGUGACAAGCGUUGUCCGGAUUUAUUGGGCGUAAAGGGAGCGCAGGCGGUCUGUUUAGUCUAAUGUGAAAGCCCACGGCUUAACCGUGGAACGGCAUUGGAAACUGACAGACUUGAAUGUAGAAGAGGAAAAUGGAAUUCCAAGUGUAGCGGUGGAAUGCGUAGAUAUUUGGAGGAACACCAGUGGCGAAGGCGAUUUUCUGGUCUAACAUUGACGCUGAGGCUCGAAAGCGUGGGGAGCGAACAGGAUUAGAAACCCGGGUAGUCCCAUG